This 277-nucleotide ribosomal RNA is filed under the name uncultured bacterium. RNAcentral's name for it is "partial 16S ribosomal RNA". It matches the Rfam family "Bacterial small subunit ribosomal RNA", at positions 335 to 629 of the family's 1533-position model. The record is from RNAcentral.
CCACCUACGGGGGGCAGCAGUAGGGAAUAUUGCUCAAUGGGGGAAACCCUGAAGCAGCAACGCCGCGUGGAGGAUGAAGGUUUUCGGAUUGUAAACUCCUUUUGUUAGAGAAGAUAAUGGCGGUAUCUAACGAAUAAGCACCGGCUAACUCCGUGCCAGCAGCCGCGGUAAUACGGAGGGUGCAAGCGUUACUCGGAAUCAAUGGGCGUAAAGAGCGCGUAGGCGGGAUAGCAAGUCAGAUGUGAAAUUCUAUGGCUUUAACAUAGAAACGCAUUUG